CAAAAUACUGAAAACGCUUAGAAAUAUACAGUUUUUAGUUGGUUAAUGCUGUAUUUCAAGUUUAUUGGAAAGGGCCCCCAUUUUUCUCGAGCCGGCCCCUAGCUCUACGAUGGAUUGCCUAUCUGCACCCCCCAUAUACACAUAUACAUAUACAUAUAUAUAUAUAUAUAUUCGUAUAUAUAGCCAUGGCAGUUCUAGUUCCAGCUGCUUAUCGUUUAUGAGCUCUCUUGUUUUGGGCGCGGUGUGUGUUCCACCGAUAUUCAAUGAACGAAUUUAACUGACGACGACAACGACGACGACGAUGAUGAUGAUGACGAUUGUAUAGGUAUAUAUAUGUAUGUAUAUUUGUGCGAAAGUGUGAUUCAUGGCACGGAUACAGAUACGAAUUGUUAAGAGUCUAUAUACCGUACCGUAUAGUACGGACGUAAAUAUAACUACGUAAAAGGUGCAGCUCAGUCAAGUCUUAUCACUGGAUGGGCGAUUCAUAAGCAUUUACCGGGAAACUUGAGACAUUGACAUUAUGUAGAUACACUUCAAAUGAGUAAACUCUAAACUGCCCACACAUGAA
This is a long non-coding RNA of Drosophila willistoni, 568 nucleotides long. RefSeq lists it as uncharacterized. The transcript is spliced from 3 exons. The record is from RefSeq and is a predicted model, not a curated record. NCBI's taxonomy places the organism in Eukaryota, Metazoa, Arthropoda, Insecta, Diptera, Drosophilidae.